Molecule: ribosomal RNA, 579 nt
Filed under: Vishniacozyma tephrensis
Lineage: Eukaryota; Fungi; Basidiomycota; Tremellomycetes; Tremellales; Bulleribasidiaceae
Description: LSU rRNA
Rfam family: Eukaryotic large subunit ribosomal RNA
Source: RNAcentral
UAACUAGGAUUCCCUUAGUAACGGCGAGUGAACCGGGAUGAGCUCAAAUUUGAAAUCUGGCGUCUUUCAGGCGUCCGAGUUGUAAUCUAUAGAGGCGUUUUCCGCGCCGGACCGCGUCCAAGUCUCUUGGAAUAGAGUAUCAAAGAGGGUGACAAUCCCGUACUUGACGCGACAACCGGUGCUCUGUGAUACGUUCUCAACGAGUCGAGUUGUUUGGGAAUGCAGCUCUAAAUGGGUGGUAAAUUCCAUCUAAGGCUAAAUAUUGGCGAGAGACCGAUAGCGAACAAGUACCGUGAGGGAAAGAUGAAAAGCACUUUGGAAAGAGAGUUAAACAGCACGUGAAAUUGUUAAAAGGGAAACGAUUGAAGUCAGUCGUGUGAAAGGUAUUCAGCCGUCUCUGGCGGUGUAUUUGCCUUUCACGGGUCAACAUCAGUUUAGUCCGGUAGAAAAAGGCUGGAGGAAGGUGGCACCCUCGGGUGUGUUAUAGCCUCCUGUCACAUGUGCCGGAUUAGACUGAGGAACGCAGCUUGCCGCAAGGCCGGGGUUCGCCCACGUACAAGCUUAGGAUGUUGACAUAAU